CUUCCAGUUCUCUUAUGUAGCUGUUAGUAGGAUCAGAUGGGAGGACACUGUAACAUGACUGGUCAUUUAGAUGUGACGUGCACAUUUCAAGCUAUCUGUCAUGGUUUAGUAGAACGAUAUUCCCUCCUUUAUCCGCUGGUUUAAUUACAACAUUAUCCAACAUAUUUAGUGAAUAAAGGGCUUUCCUCUCAUUGUGAGUAAGAUUGUUGGUGGGUGGAUGUUCAAAGUGACUAUUUUCUAGUUCACUAGUAGUCAUUUCUACGAAAAGUUAAACAUGUGGGGUAUCCUUCAGGGUAGGAGUAAACCAACUUUGAGGUUUUAAAUUGGUCAAGGGUUUACUGGGACUUUGUUCAUCCAAUAGAUCCGUAAAUACUUUGGAGAAUACAU
Pelobates cultripes (western spadefoot toad) is the source of this 387-nucleotide non-coding RNA. Lineage: Eukaryota; Metazoa; Chordata; Amphibia; Anura; Pelobatidae. The record is from the annotation of a GenBank genome assembly.